CCUACGGGAGGCAGCAGUAGGGAAUAUUCGACAAUGGGCGAAAGCCUGAACGAGCGAUGCCGCGUGAACGAUGAAGGUCUUCGGAUUGUAAAGUGCUGUUGUAGGGGAAAAAGAGUGGCAAGAGGAAAUGAUCGCAGAGUGACGUUACCUUGCGAGUAAGCUAUGGCUAACUAUGUGCCAGCAGCCGCGGUAAUACAUAGGUCGCGAGCGUUAUCCGGAAUUAUUGGGCGUAAAGUGUGCGUAGGCGGGUUGCUAAGUCUGGAGUAAAAGGCAGGGGCUCAACCGGGACUCGCUCUGGAAACUGGCGAACUAGAGAGAGAAAGAGGUGAGUGGAAUUCCAUGUGAAGCGGUGAAAUGCGUAGAUAUAUGGAAGAACACCAAUGGCGAAGGCAGCCUACUGGCUCGAUACUGACGCUGAGGGACGAAAGCGUGGGGAGCAAACAGGAUUAGAUACCCCUGUAGUC
RNAcentral lists this ribosomal RNA (464 nucleotides) under uncultured bacterium. RNAcentral describes it as "partial 16S ribosomal RNA". It matches the Rfam family "Bacterial small subunit ribosomal RNA", at positions 338 to 795 of the family's 1533-position model. The record is from RNAcentral.